GACGAACGCUGGCGGCGUGCCUAAUACAUGCAAGUCGAGCGGACCGAAUGGAAGCUUGCUUUCAUUCGGUUAGCGGCGGACGGGUGAGUAACACGUGGGUAACCUGCCCGUAAGACCGGGAUAACUCCGGGAAACCGGGGCUAAUACCGGAUAACACCGAAGACCGCAUGGUCUUCGGUUGAAAGGUGGCUUCGGCUACCACUUACGGAUGGGCCCGCGGCGCAUUAGCUAGUUGGUGAGGUAACGGCUCACCAAGGCGACGAUGCGUAGCCGGCCUGAGAGGGUGACCGGCCAAACUGGGACUGAGACACGGCCCAGACUCCUACGGGAGGCAGCAGUAGGGAAUCUUCCGCAAUGGACGAAAGUCUGACGGAGCGACGCCGCGUGAGCGAAGAAGGUCUUCGGAUCGUAAAGCUCUGUUGUUAGGGACGAAGAAGUACCGUUCGAAUAGGGCGGUACGGUGACGGUACCUAACGAGAAAGCCCCGGCUAACUACGUG
RNAcentral lists this ribosomal RNA (499 nucleotides) under uncultured bacterium. Its description in RNAcentral is "partial 16S ribosomal RNA". It matches the Rfam family "Bacterial small subunit ribosomal RNA", at positions 28 to 507 of the family's 1533-position model. The record is from RNAcentral.